This is an RNA transcript of Juglans microcarpa x Juglans regia, 3162 nucleotides long. It is a transcript of the gene named pentatricopeptide repeat-containing protein At5g14080, with no coding region annotated. The record is from RefSeq and is a predicted model, not a curated record. The transcript has 3 exons. NCBI's taxonomy places the organism in Eukaryota, Viridiplantae, Streptophyta, Magnoliopsida, Fagales, Juglandaceae.
CAUAGUCAGCAUUCGGUUCGAAAUCGAGGCCUUGGAAAGUUGGGAGGUUCGUCUCCGUUCUCUAUUUCUCAUGAAACCUUGUGCAACUGAGUUAGCAACCCAAAUAAGCCGAGCUCUGAUCUCCGCCUCGAAUCGUACGAAACCUACUCGGACAUGGACUCCUUCGCUGGAGCAGACGCUCCACCGGCUCGGUUGCCGCGAUUCGCUCACCCCACCACUCGUAGCCCGAGUCAUAGAUCCCUUCCUCCUCACCCACCACUCACUUGCACUCGGUUUCUUCAACUGGGCCUCUCAGCAACCAGGGUUCUCCCACACUUCUCUCACCUACCAAUCAGUCCUCAAGUCUCUCUCUUUUUCUCGCCAGUUCAAUGCCAUUGGUACUCUCUUAAAGCAAGUCAGAGCCCAGAAGAUUAAUCUUAGUUCUUCGGUUUACCGUUCGCUGAUUGCUUCAUUGAUCAUAGGAAAGAAGACCCACAAUGCCUUUUUGGUAUUUAGCGAAGCCAGCUCAGUGAUUCCAGAAAUCGGUCCCGAAGUAUGUAAUUCUCUUUUGGCUGCUCUUGCUUCUGAUGGGUAUUUGGAAUAUGCAGAAACGGUGUUCGAUAAAAUGGUUGUUAAAGGUGUUUCUUUUAGUACUCUUGGGUUUGGUGUGUUUAUAUGGAGGUUUAGUAGAAAUUUCGAGGUUGAUAGAGUGUUAAGCAAGUUGGAUGAGGUCAGGAGAGGUAAUUCAGAGAUUAACGGGUCGAUUAUUGUGGUUUUGAUUGUUCACGGGCUUUGUCAGGCGUUGAAGGUGUCGGAGGCUAAUUGGGUUUUGGAUGAGCUGAGGAUUAGGGACUGCAAACCUGAUUUUAUGGCGUAUAGGAUUGUCACGGAAGGGUUUAGGGCAAUAGGAAGUGUGGUUGAUACUGAGAAGGUUUUGAAGAAGAAGAGAAAGCUUGGGGUAGCUCCCAGGGCUGGCGAUUAUAGAGAGUUCAUAUUUGCGCUGGUUUCGGAAAGACGGAUCUGGGAAGCGAAAGAAUUGGGUGAAGUGAUUGUUGGUGGGAAUUUCCCAAUGGAGGAUGACGUGCUUAAUGUGUUAACAGGAUCAGUUUCAGCCAUCGAUCCCGAUUCUGCCAUUGUGUUUUUCAAGUACAUGGUUGGAAAAGAGAGAUUUCCUACACUUUUGACUUUGACCAAUUUGAGUAGGAAUCUUUGCAAGCAUGGGAAGACUGAUGAGUUGUUGGAAAUUUUGCGCCUUCUGUCUCUUAAUGAUUACUUUAAAGAUGUAGAGAGUUACAAUGUGAUGGUUUCAUUCUUGUGCAAGGCUGGCAGGGUGAGAGAAGCCUAUGGGGUUCUUCAGGAGAUGAAGAAGAAAGGAUUCGGACCAGAUGUCUCAUCUUAUAACUCUCUGAUGGAAGGUUGCUGUAGGGAAGAUCUAUUGCGUCCUGCUAGAAAGCUGUGGGAUGAGAUGUUUGCAAGAGGGUGUGGCGGGAAUUUAAAAACUUACAACAUUCUAAUUCAGAAGUUCUCAGAAAUAGGUCAAGUCGAGGAGGCUCAGAGGCUCUUUCACCACAUGUUUGAGAAAGGAGUGGUACCCGAUGCUACAACUUACACGUCCCUCAUUGAAGGGCUCUGUCGAGAAACAGAGUUAGAAGCUGCCCUUAAUGUCUUCAACAAGUCUGUCAAACAGGAUGUGGUUCUUGCACAAACCAUAUUGAGUACAUUUGUUCUAUCUUUAUGCAAAGAAGGUCAUUUUAUAACUGCUUCUAAGUUGCUCCGUGAUCUCACCUGUGAUAUAGGACAUUCAGACUCCCAUAUAAUUUUGCUAAAAUGUUUGGCUGAUGCUAGAGAGUUUCCCAUUGCCAUUGAGCACAUAAAAUGGGUCGAAAAAUCUUCCCCUUCAACGUUGCAAGUUAUAUAUGCUGAACUUUCGGUAUCUCUUUCUUCUUCAAAAUCAGAGCCAAUUUUACAGUUGCUUCAAACAUUACCGGAAUGUCUAAUUUACCCCAAUGAUGUUACUUGGAAGACUCUCUGAAUGUUAGGCUUCAAGAUUAGUGCCCAUUCUAUUGGGGAUUCGGAGUGAAAAAGUCCCCACCCCUCUCUGGAUUACGCUCUAUCAUCCAUAGAACUGGACGGCUAAUAACACAAAUUUUGCAAUUACAAAAAGAAAUACCAGUUGAAAUUGUGGAUAGCAUUCUGUAAUUUGUUACCUGCUGUUUGACGCUCCGAAGUAGUGUAAGCCACUGAUGCGUCAAACGCGGUGUCAAUCGUCUGCAAUAUUCAUAGAUCCAUUUGUAGUCUGAUGAGGAAAAAGUAGAACAUGAACCAAACGCUGAAACCUCUGAUGGGCAACAUUGCUCUUGUAAAUCAUGAACUCUGGCCUAUAAAUAGACCCUUGUUCUAUAGUUAGUUAUGUAGCGAGAGAGAAUAACGAGGGAGAAGGCUACUUAGAUUGGUGAGAGCACCAUGGGUUGGCGUUAUGGCUUGUGGACACCCGGGAAGAUGAUGGGAGGCAGAGGCGAGGCAUAGGUUGUCAAUGGCUAUACAUCUCACGUGGACAAUGGUGUUAACUGUCGAUGAAAGCAAAUAAGGGAAGGUCUAACAUGGUAUCGUGCCUGGAAUUCAACGGACAGAUGUCGUAUACAAUCCUGUUACAUAAUUUUGAAGUCAAAGCAUGAUCAAAACUAAACCCGGUUGUUAGUCCAUUGUUAAAGGGAGAGAGAUGAUCAAGCCUAACAAUCGUGUGAUCGUCAAUUUAACUGAGCAACUUUAAUCCAGAAAAUUGAGAUAAUUUACAAGAGAUGAACAACGUAGGAUUGUCAGUCUUCAAGGCCUUGAAUCCCAGCCAUCAUUAUCAGAUUGCUAAAGACUUUGAAGCCAAGCAGAGCAGGAACACUUCGCCCUGCUUGUAUGCCACUGCCCGUCAGAUGUCGGAACCGCACUCACUGCAUUAGUCGCUGAAAGCACCAGCAAUUGUUUAGCAUGCCUAUGAAUGAUGCCCCGGAAACAGCAGCAUCACUGCAAGAUGAGGUCCUCUGAAAAUGCAAAAUCUUUCUUUACAGAUGCCCGCCAACACAGUCAACUAUUGGAUUCCCAGUUGACUUAUGCCUGCCUUCUGAAACUGGGUCAAAUUCUCCACAUGGUCAAUCAACAAUGAGUAACCCAACAUCCGGAAGAAAAAGCACA